This 100-nucleotide small RNA is filed under the name Pan troglodytes (chimpanzee). RNAcentral's name for it is "processed transcript". Lineage: Eukaryota; Metazoa; Chordata; Mammalia; Primates; Hominidae. The record is from RNAcentral.
CCGCCCAGUGCACAAGUCACGCUGGGGGGCGGCUGCGGGGCGCUAGCAGGGACUUCCUGCCUCGAGGAUCUGGCAUUGUCACCCGACGUCCCCUGGUCUU